GAGGGCAGAGCAGCGUCUCCAGUGUCCAGCUGUCUGUCCAUGAAGAGCGACCGGUCUAAAGAGCCACCUCUAACCUUCAGUGUUGAACCUGGACCUUCAGACACAAAAGGUUCCUACCACAGAGCAGAGUCUGCAGUGUCCAGCUGUCUGUCCAUGAAGAGCGACUGGUCUAAAGAGCCACCUCUAACCUUCAGUGCUGAACCUGGACCUUCAGACACAAAAGGUUCCUACCGCAGAGCACAGUCUGCAGUGUCCAGCUGUCUGUCC
This is a long non-coding RNA of Myripristis murdjan (pinecone soldierfish), 267 nucleotides long. RefSeq lists it as uncharacterized. The transcript is spliced from 3 exons. The record is from RefSeq and is a predicted model, not a curated record. NCBI's taxonomy places the organism in Eukaryota, Metazoa, Chordata, Actinopteri, Holocentriformes, Holocentridae.